This is a long non-coding RNA of Gasterosteus aculeatus aculeatus (three-spined stickleback), 1384 nucleotides long. NCBI's taxonomy places the organism in Eukaryota, Metazoa, Chordata, Actinopteri, Perciformes, Gasterosteidae. The record is from Ensembl.
GUCCUCGCAGCAGCUAACGAUGGCUCACCGCUUGUGUAGCUACAGCAGCUAGCUAGCCAUCUGCCUUCUAUUCGUAUUUAUUUCUCUACACAAUAGAAAAGCGAUGUGCUCUCGUGCCUCAUGCAGCUCUUCUGUGUUGCACGUCAAUACUUUGAGACAAACAAGGGGCGUCAAUCUAACGUAAAUGCUUUUCAAUAAAUGUCUUUAGUUCUGCACAAUGAACAUGAAUCUCAGAUUAAAUGAUUAAUAUUCCCCAAAUUCCAAUUAACUACACUUCCGCUGUUACAGAGGGGAAACACUGUAAUCAUACUGUAAACUUUCAAAAGUUCAUAUAUUGUGCAUAGUUUGAAGUGAAAAAAAACUUUUCUUCAGUUGUGUUUGGGUUCAGGCUGUUUAGGAUCGGUAUCGGAAAACCCAAACGAUACUCAUCCCUACUCUCAUGUCUGCGCGCUCAACGUGAAGCUAAAGCCAGCCGCUGGUUAGCUUAGCAUGAAGACUGGAGACAAGAGGGCUCGAAAGGGAUGUUUAAAAAUCCGGAUUCAACAGUUUACAAAUUUCCGACUUGAUGAAACAAUGGACAAAAAUCGUUCUUUAUUUAUUCUUUAAGUGUUUGCUUUCAAGAUCAAGAUGGGGUCAUAGAAAAAAACAAGUAGAGCAAAGUGUUUUAUGCACCAUGUCAAGUGGAUGAGCUCCAUCAAUACAAAUACACACACACAUUUACUCUAAAGGCUCAUUUGCAUAUUGUAGAUACCUUCACUGUAACCAUAGAGACGUUACAUCAUGAUGGAACAUUUCUCCAUGUUCCAUGUUCCAUGUUCUAUGUUCUAUGCUCCGUUCACCACAGCAUAAGAACACAGUCUGUUGCACAUCCAGUCAGUCAGUUUCAAACCUCGCAUCUACACACUGAAGUUUUCCGGACCUACACUUGCAGAACGCAACCAUGUAAUGCCUCAGGAGUCUGUAGAGGGAAUGAAGACGCGUUCUGCUGCACUUAACAGAGCUCAAGACCAACGGGACGCCAUCAGGACGCCACGUCAACGGGACGCCAUCAGGGUGCCAUCAGGACGCCACGUCAACGGGACGCCAUCAGGACGUCACGUCAACCCCUCAGGAGCAAAUCCAGAUCUACGCAUGACACACAUACACACACACACACAGAUACCAACAGGACGCCAUCAGGACGCCACGUCUUCGGGACGCCAUCAGGACGCCACGUCAUCGGGACGCCAUCAGGACGCCACGUCAUCGGGACGCCAUCAGGAUUCCAUCAGGACGCCGCGUCAACCCCUCCGGAGCAAACCUAGAUCUACUCAUGACACACACACACAGAUGAACUGCUUCAGAUGUUUUCCCAAUGAUUGUAUUAUUAUUAUUAUUGUUAAAU